Oncorhynchus keta (chum salmon) is the source of this 351-nucleotide long non-coding RNA. RefSeq lists it as uncharacterized. Lineage: Eukaryota; Metazoa; Chordata; Actinopteri; Salmoniformes; Salmonidae. The record is from RefSeq and is a predicted model, not a curated record. The transcript is spliced from 3 exons.
UGGCAACGAUUGGGCGUUCAUACCUCUGCCCUCUCUGUCCUAAACAGUGUACACGUUCUAGUUGGAUUUUGUUGAUAGCUUCGCGUGGAAUCUGAAGCGCUGUAUGGAGCAACUCUCUAACUACAGAUUCAGGAACUUCUUCAUCUUUCUCUUGGAUACCUGAAGGUUAUCUCUAAUCCAAACAGACGACUUAAACACGAGAGCAGUGGAUCAGGCCUCGGAAAAAAGAAGAUAAUCAAUCACUACUCCUAAAACACACGGACCAGUCUCAAACAAUGUUCUGCUUUCCCCUAUUGCAAGGAUUACAGUAUAUUUCUAUUACUAAUCUCUGUUGGAUAAUUCACUUUCUGC